GACGAACGCUGGCGGCGUGCUUAACACAUGCAAGUCGAACGGAAAGGCCCUGCUUUUGUGGGGUGCUCGAGUGGCGAACGGGUGAGUAACACGUGAGUAACCUGCCCUUGACUUUGGGAUAACUUUAGGAAACUGGGGCUAAUACCGGAUAGGAGCUCCUGUUGCAUGGUGGGGGUUGGAAAGUUUCGGCGAGUGGGGAUGAACUCGCGGCUUAUUAGCUUGUUUGUGGGGUAGUGGCUUACCAAGGCUUUGCCGGGUAGCUGGACUGUUGGGGUGACCGGCAUCCAUAGAACUGUGAUACGACCGAGUAUCGAUUGUAAGGCAAUAGUGGUGAAUAUUGCCCAGAAGGGCGGAGCGUGAUACAGAACCGCUAGGGUCGGGAGGAGGGCCAUCGGGGUGAAAACCGCUUUCGUUUGUGACCAAGCUUGAGUGACGGUAAUGAGUGAGAAAAAACCGGCUAACUACAUG
Molecule: ribosomal RNA, 468 nt
Filed under: uncultured bacterium
Lineage: Bacteria
Description: partial 16S ribosomal RNA
Rfam family: Bacterial small subunit ribosomal RNA
Source: RNAcentral